RNAcentral lists this ribosomal RNA (395 nucleotides) under Kurixalus odontotarsus. Its description in RNAcentral is "partial 12S ribosomal RNA". It matches the Rfam family "Bacterial small subunit ribosomal RNA", at positions 794 to 1401 of the family's 1533-position model. The record is from RNAcentral. Lineage: Eukaryota; Metazoa; Chordata; Amphibia; Anura; Rhacophoridae.
GCCUACCCGUAAAUAUUAACUUACACCUACCAACGCCAGGGAAUUACGAGUCUCAACUUAAAACCCAAAGGACUUGACGGUGUCCCACCCUACUAGAGGAGCCUGUCCUAUAAUUGAUGAUCCCCGAUAUACCCUACCAUUACUCGCUUACCAGUCUGUAUACCGCCGUCGUAAGUUUACCGUGUGAACGCACAACAGUAAGCCCAAGGACUUCCCCGCCACAACGUCAGGCCAAGGUGCAAUUUAUGUAAUGGAAAGUGAUGGGCUACAAUUUCUAAUAUAGAACAUACGAAAAACUACAUGAAACAUAGUCAUGAAGGUGGAUUUAGUAGUAAAUAAGGAAUAGAGAGCCUUAUUAAACCUGGCCCUGGGAUGUGUACAAACCGCCCGUCACC